UAUCUUCAACGAUGAAUCAUCGGUUGAUUCACGUAUCGAUGAAAAACACAGCUAGAUGUGUUAUUUAACACGAAUUGCAGACGCUUAGAGUGAUGAGGCUUUGAACACAUAGCGCCGUAGGGUUUUCACUUCGGCAUAUUCGGUUCAGGGUUG
This 153-nucleotide ribosomal RNA is filed under the name Dictyocaulus viviparus (bovine lungworm). RNAcentral describes it as "5.8S ribosomal RNA". It matches the Rfam family "5.8S ribosomal RNA". From Rfam's summary of the family: 5.8S ribosomal RNA (5.8S rRNA) is a component of the large subunit of the eukaryotic ribosome. Lineage: Eukaryota; Metazoa; Nematoda; Chromadorea; Rhabditida; Metastrongylidae. The record is from Rfam by way of RNAcentral.